RNAcentral lists this ribosomal RNA (327 nucleotides) under uncultured bacterium. RNAcentral describes it as "bacterial SSU rRNA". It matches the Rfam family "Bacterial small subunit ribosomal RNA", at positions 28 to 355 of the family's 1533-position model. The record is from RNAcentral.
GACGAACGCUGGCGGCGUGCUUAACACAUGCAAGUCGAGCGGUAAGGCCCUUUCGGGGGUACACGAGCGGCGAACGGGUGAGUAACACGUGGGUGACCUGCCCUCAGCUCUGGGAUAAGCCUGGGAAACCGGGUCUAAUACUGGAUAUGACUCCAUGACGCAUGUUGUGGGGUGGAAAGCCUUGUGCGGCUGAGGAUGGGGCCCGCGGCCUAUCAGCUUGUUGGUGGGGUGANGGCCUACCAAGGCGACGACGGGUAGCCGGCCUGAGAGGGCGACCGGCCACACUGGGACUGAGACACGGCCCAGACUCCUACGGGAGGCAGCAGU